This is a small nuclear RNA of Hippoglossus stenolepis (Pacific halibut), 107 nucleotides long. The record is from RefSeq and is a predicted model, not a curated record. Lineage: Eukaryota; Metazoa; Chordata; Actinopteri; Pleuronectiformes; Pleuronectidae.
AUACUUGCUUAGCAGUACAUAUAAUAAAUUAGAUACGAUACAGAAGAUUAGCAUGGCCCCUGCGAGAAAGGAUGUGCAUGGAAAUUCGUGAGACCUUUCCAUAUUUU